AUGGCUGUCGUCAGCUCGUGUCGUGAGAUGUUGGGUUAAGUCCCGCAACGAGCGCAACCCCUACCCUUAAUUGCCAUCGGGUUAUGCCGGGCACUUUAGGGGGACUGCCGGUGACAAGCCGGAGGAGGGUGGGGAUGACGUCAAGUCCUCAUGGCCUUUAUGACCAGGGCUACACACGUGUUACAAUGGAAGUUACAGAGGGAAGCUAAGCCGCGAGGCCAUGCCAAUCCCAGAAAAACUUUCUCAGUUCGGAUCGCAGUCUGCAACUCGACUGCGUGAAGCUGGAAUCGCUAGUAAUCGCGGAUCAGCACGCCGCGGUGAAUACGUUCCCGGGCCUUGUACACACCGCCCGUCACACCAUGGGAGCCGACAAGGGCAGAAGUCGCCGAGCUAACCUUCGGGAAGCAGGCGCCCAAGCUGUUGUUGACGACUGGGGUGAAGUCGUAACAAGGUAGCCGUAGGAGAACCUGCGGCUGGAUCACCUCCUUUCUAAGGACGCCAGAGAUGCUUUAUGCUUAUCUCUGGAUAGUCAAAGUCGAAACAGACUCUCUUCUCUUCUCUCCCUUUUCUCCUGUAAAUUCUAAGUUAUGAAUUUAGAGCAACGAAGGAAUUAGAUUCGUUACUGUGGACUCCUAAUUUCAAGAGGGGCCUGUAGCUCAGCUUGGUUAGAGCGCAUCCCUGAUAAGGAUGAGGCCGGUGGUUCAAGUCCACCCAGGCCCACCAGCUCAUUUUUGAUAUGGAUUUGGAUUUAGCGACUAUGAUGGUAGCAAAUCUAAGGUAUGGUAAUCCAAAUCAGAUAUUAAAGAUCGGGGGAUUAGCUCAGCUGGUAGAGCGCCUGCUUUGCAAGCAGGAGGUCAGCGGUUCGAACCCGCUAUCCUCCACCAAAUUAAUGAACAGUAAAAAAGGUGGUGCAGCUUAAGCAGAAGAUAAGCUUCAGCAAUUAUUUAAUAAUUUCUGAAUUUUAUUUUUUAAUAUCUUAGACAAUUGAAUCGGAGGUUUUGGAGACACAAGAUCAAAUGUGAGGGUCUCCAAGGGUUGACGAUCUUGACUGUUAAAGUCAGGUAGUAAGGGCGCAGGGCGGAUGCCUUGGCUCUGGGAAGCGAAGAAGGACGUGGCUAGCUGCGAUAAGCCUCGGGGAAGAGCAAACAUCUUUUGAUCCGGGGAUUUCCGAAUGGGGAAACCCGG
RNAcentral lists this small RNA (1185 nucleotides) under uncultured bacterium. RNAcentral's name for it is "bacterial SSU rRNA". The stretch from base 1 to 489 matches the Rfam family "Bacterial small subunit ribosomal RNA", at positions 1045 to 1533 of the family's 1533-position model. The record is from RNAcentral.